This 301-nucleotide ribosomal RNA is filed under the name uncultured bacterium. RNAcentral's name for it is "partial 16S ribosomal RNA". It matches the Rfam family "Bacterial small subunit ribosomal RNA", at positions 509 to 807 of the family's 1533-position model. The record is from RNAcentral.
CAGUAGCCGCGGUAACACGAAGGGGGCUAGCGUUGUUCGGAAUUACUGGGCGUAAAGCGCACGUAGGCGGACAUUUAAGUCAGGGGUGAAAUCCCGGGGCUCAACCCCGGAACUGCCUUUGAUACUGGGUGUCUAGAGUAUGGAAGAGGUGAGUGGAAUUCCGAGUGUAGAGGUGAAAUUCGUAGAUAUUCGGAGGAACACCAGUGGCGAAGGCGGCUCACUGGUCCAUUACUGACGCUGAGGUGCGAAAGCGUGGGGAGCAAACAGGAUUAGAUACCCGCGUAGUCCCUGUCUCUUAUAC